AAUCCGGCAUAGUCGAAGAAGAAGUCGAGCUGAAAGGUGCCCGUCAACUUAAAUAAAGGUGAGGUGAAGAAGACACCCCGUAGAUCGUCAUUUCGGGUCACUUGCAAAACUUCGCCGGUGAGGUUCAGAAACCUGCCAACCACCGGUGGAACUCUACGGAAGUCCAGGAUGCUAACAGUAAUUCACA
Long non-coding RNA from Hippocampus zosterae (dwarf seahorse), 187 nucleotides. RefSeq lists it as uncharacterized. The record is from RefSeq and is a predicted model, not a curated record. Lineage: Eukaryota; Metazoa; Chordata; Actinopteri; Syngnathiformes; Syngnathidae. The transcript is spliced from 2 exons.